GCGAAGGAAGUAACCAAUCAAUUUUUUAAUUUCCUUCUGUAAACGGGAGUGAAUCAGGGUGGAUUUGAAAUCUCAUUAGUCAAAAUCUUGCUCCAUUGCUCAGGUGCAAUCUCGGCUCACUACAACCUCUGCCUUUCGGACUCAAGUGAUUCUCCUGCUUCAGCCUUUCAAGUAGCUGGGAUUACAGAGCUGCAAACUACUUUUUACGCACCUUCUGCAGCCUUGUAUGACUUCCCUGAGGAACUUACACUUGUUUUCCUCUCCAUUAAUCUGCAAUUUCUCCUCCUGUUUCAUUGUGUAGAGCUAAGAAGGUGAAGUAAUUGAAAGCGCCCUUCUUUUCACUCUGACCUGAAAUUACAACAGGCUGAGUGGAGCGGGAACGAGCCUGUGUGUUGCGCAAGCUGUGAAGAGCCAAGUUACAGAAGAGGUAGAGGAAAUAUGACAGGGCUCAAACAACGGCUGCUGAAUUAUAAUAUUUCUGAAGGCCCUAAAGUAUGCUCUUUCUUCCCCCACCCCCUUGCCCCUGAGCCAGUCAGGGAUGAGAUUGGCAGAGCACUACUACUACAUCCCUUCUGCUUUCUGUCAUA
Molecule: long non-coding RNA, 587 nt
Organism: Gorilla gorilla gorilla (western lowland gorilla)
Lineage: Eukaryota; Metazoa; Chordata; Mammalia; Primates; Hominidae
Exons: 4
Source: RefSeq, a predicted model, not a curated record